Molecule: ribosomal RNA, 253 nt
Filed under: uncultured bacterium
Lineage: Bacteria
Description: partial 16S ribosomal RNA
Rfam family: Bacterial small subunit ribosomal RNA
Source: RNAcentral
UACGGAGGAUGCAAGCGUUAUCCGGAUUCAUUGGGUUUAAAGGGUGCGUAGGCGGAAUAAUAAGUCAGUGGUGAAAGCCUGUGGCUCAACCAUAGAAUUGCCAUUGAUACUGUUAUUCUUGAGUAUAGUUGAAGUGGGCGGAAUGUGUAAUGUAGCGGUGAAAUGCUUAGAUAUUACACAGAACACCAAUUGCGAAGGCAGCUCACUAAGCUGUUACUGACGCUGAGGCACGAAAGCGUGGGGAGCAAACAGG